Hylaeus anthracinus is the source of this 1007-nucleotide long non-coding RNA. RefSeq lists it as uncharacterized. The transcript has 3 exons. The record is from RefSeq and is a predicted model, not a curated record. Lineage: Eukaryota; Metazoa; Arthropoda; Insecta; Hymenoptera; Colletidae.
AGGCGGUGGAUGCUGGGGAGAUCCAGCGACGCCCCGGGUACGACAGGUUGCUCCUUGUGUAUAAAAGAACCUUUACGUGGGACGGGGGCCCCCCAACCGGUGAAAAGAAGUCGAUCUGGACGGGGGUCAGGGACGCAUUCGCGAGUUUUAGCCUUGCCAGGUGGCUACGGGGGAUUCUUCGCGAGUCGAGGAAGAGGGGAAGGGAUCUUGAGCGCCAUUGAACGAGGGGAUGAAUCUGAAUCGAGUUUGGUGCGGUUUGCUUAGGUGGACACUAGUUUGCGACGGUUACACUGUGAAUGUUUGUGCAAAUUCAUAUUUUUACAGAUCUGGAUUUAUUUUGAGGGGGAUACGAAGGAUUUUAACUAACUAUUUAACCCGUUGCGCUCGAGUGGCGCCCCUAGGGCGACAUGUGUAAUCUAAAAAUUUUUGUGACUGAAAUACUGCUGUAACGAGUGAAGUCGAUUUACUAAAUUAAUUAGAAAAUUUGAACGAAAACGAAUUGCAUGGUUUCUGGAAAGCCUUGCCAGACUUGUUUUUUGAACAAUGUAACAUGUGGUACAUGCGUGUUCAGGAAGAAACGUCCGAGUGGAAUGGUAAUGGUGGUACGAAGACCCUGGGAAUUUUUCGAAGCAGCCCCACCCCCGACAAUUUAAUUAAACUUCUCAAUUCGAUACUCGUUGGUAUCUUAAUCAAUAAAUAUUGACGACUAUACGAAUUUAUUUUCUUUGUGUGAAACGAAUUAGAAUUGUUAUUGCUCGUAUGUUCCUUUUAGUUUGACAAAAAUGAUCCCAUUUUUGGUUUUCACUGUCUGUGAUAAUGACUAUUACAAGUUUUAUUUGCACGAAAGAAAACAUAACGUACUGCAAAGAUACAACUGAGAUUGGAUGCUUCUAUAUACUCGAUAAAUUAAAUUUUUCAAAGUGAUUCCCAUGAUCAUCACUGUGCACACAGAUUAUUAAAACUUCUAUUUACCCAUUUAGAUCGCAAAAAUUCCCCAAGAAGUGUUU